UAGUCCACGCCGUAAACGAUGUCAACUAGCCGUCGGGUCCAUUUAAGGAUUUGGUGGCGCAGCUAACGCGAUAAGAUGACCGCCUGGGGAGUACGCCGGCAACGGUAAAACUCAAAGGAAUUGACGGGGGCCCGCACAAGCGGUGGAGCAUGUGGUUUAAUUCGAUGCAACGCGAAGAACCUUACCUACCCUUGACAUCCUCAGAACUUGUUAGAGAUAACUUGGUGCCUUCGGGAAUUGAGUGACAGGUGCUGCAUGGCUGUCGUUAGCUCGUGUCGUGAGAUGUUGGGUUAAGUCCCGCAACGAGCGCAACCCUUGUCUUUAGUUGCCAUCAUUAAGUUGGGCACUUUAAAGAGACUGCCGGUGACAAACCGGAGGAAGGUAAGGAUGACGUCAAGUCAGCAUGCCCCUUAUGCUCUGGGCUACACACGUGCUACAAUGGCCGUGACAAAGAGUUGCUACUUUGUGAAAACAAGCUAAUCUCAUAAACGCGGCCUCAGUUCGGAUUGC
Molecule: ribosomal RNA, 510 nt
Filed under: uncultured bacterium
Lineage: Bacteria
Description: bacterial SSU rRNA
Rfam family: Bacterial small subunit ribosomal RNA
Source: RNAcentral